This 398-nucleotide ribosomal RNA is filed under the name uncultured bacterium. Its description in RNAcentral is "partial 16S ribosomal RNA". It matches the Rfam family "Bacterial small subunit ribosomal RNA", at positions 338 to 733 of the family's 1533-position model. The record is from RNAcentral.
CCUACGGGUGGCAGCAGUGAGGAAUAUUGGUCAAUGGACGAGAGUCUGAACCAGCCAAGUAGCGUGAAGGAUGACUGCCCUAUGGGUUGUAAACUUCUUUUAUAUGGGAAUAAAAUGUUCCACGUGUGGGAUUUUGUAUGUACCAUAUGAAUAAGGAUCGGCUAACUCCGUGCCAGCAGCCGCGGUAAUACGGAGGAUCCGAGCGUUAUCCGGAUUUAUUGGGGUUAAAGGGAGCGUAGAUGGGUUGUUAAGUCAGUUGUGAAAGUUUGCGGCUCAACCGUAAAAUUGCAAUUGAUACUGGUAGUCUUGAGUACAGUAGAGGUAGGCGGAAUUCGUGGUGUAGCGGUGAAAUGCUUAGAUAUCACGAAGAACUCCGAUUGCGAAGGCAGCUUACUAGA